This 252-nucleotide ribosomal RNA is filed under the name uncultured bacterium. RNAcentral describes it as "partial 16S ribosomal RNA". It matches the Rfam family "Bacterial small subunit ribosomal RNA", at positions 524 to 776 of the family's 1533-position model. The record is from RNAcentral.
UACGUAGGUGGCUAGCGUUAUCCGGAAUUACUGGGCGUAAAGGGUGCGUAGGUGGUUUCUUAAGCCAGAGGUGAAAGGCUACGGCUCAACCGUAGUAAGCCUUUGAAACUGGGGAACUUGAGUGCAGGAGAGGAGAGUGGAAUUCCUAGUGUAGCGGUGAAAUGCGUAGAUAUUAGGAGGAACACCAGUUGCGAAGGCGGCUCUCUGGACUGUAACUAACACUGAGGCACGAAAGCGUGGGGAGCAAACAGG